This 465-nucleotide ribosomal RNA is filed under the name uncultured bacterium. RNAcentral describes it as "partial 16S ribosomal RNA". It matches the Rfam family "Bacterial small subunit ribosomal RNA", at positions 338 to 795 of the family's 1533-position model. The record is from RNAcentral.
CCUACGGGAGACUGCAGUAGGGAAUCUUCCACAAUGGGCGAAAGCCUGAUGGAGCAACGCCGCGUGGGUGAAGAAGGUCUUCGGAUCGUAAAACCCUGUUGUUAGAGAAGAAAGUGCGUGAGAGUAACUGUUCACGUUUCGACGGUAUCUAACCAGAAAGCCACGGCUAACUACGUGCCAGCAGCCGCGGUAAUACGUAGGUGGCAAGCGUUAUCCGGAUUUAUUGGGCGUAAAGGGAACGCAGGCGGUCUUUUAAGUCUGAUGUGAAAGCCUUCGGCUUAACCGGAGUAGUGCAUUGGAAACUGGGAGACUGGAGUGCAGAAGAGGAGAGUGGAACUCCAUGUGUAGCGGUGAAAUGCGUAGAUAUAUGGAAGAACACCAGUGGCGAAAGCGGCUCUCUGGUCUGUAACUGACGCUGAGGUUCGAAAGCGUGGGUAGCAAACAGGAUUAGAUACCCUUGUAGUC